This 494-nucleotide ribosomal RNA is filed under the name uncultured bacterium. RNAcentral describes it as "partial 16S ribosomal RNA". It matches the Rfam family "Bacterial small subunit ribosomal RNA", at positions 28 to 507 of the family's 1533-position model. The record is from RNAcentral.
GACGAACGCUGGCGGCGCGCUUAACACAUGCAAGUCGAACGGAAAGGCCUGCUUUCCCUUGUGGAUUGCGGGUACUCGAGUGGCGAACGGGUGAGUAACACGUGAGUGAUCUGCCCCCAACUUGGGUAUAAGCCUGGGAAACUGGGUCUAAUUCCCGAUAGGACUGCAGGGUGGUGCCUGUGGUGGAAAACGAUUUUCUAGUGGUUGGGGAUGAGCUCGCGGCCUAUCAGCUUGUUGGUGGGGUAAUGGCCUACCAAGGCGGCGACGGGUAGCCGGCCUGAGAGGGUGGACGGCCACAUUGGGACUGAGAUACGGCCCAGACUCCUACGGGAGGCAGCAGUGGGGAAUAUUGCACAAUGGGCGGAAGCCUGAUGCAGCGACGCCGCGUGGGGGAUGACGGCCUUCGGGUUGUAAACUCCUUUCGACCGCGAGGAAGCCACCUGGUUGGAAGGGUGGUGACGGUAGUGGUAGAAGAAGCACCGGCCAACUACGUG